Molecule: ribosomal RNA, 481 nt
Filed under: uncultured bacterium
Lineage: Bacteria
Description: partial 16S ribosomal RNA
Rfam family: Bacterial small subunit ribosomal RNA
Source: RNAcentral
UUGCACGCUGGCGGCAUGCUUUACCCAUGCCAUUCGAACGGUAACAGCACUUCGGUGGCUGACGAGUGGCGAACGGGUGAGUAAUACAUCGGAACGUGCCUAGUAGUGGGGGAUAACUACUCGAAAGAGUAGCUAAUACCGCAUGAGAUCUAAGGAUGAAAGCAGGGGACCUUCGGGCCUUGCGCUACUAGAGCGGCUGAUGGCAGAUUAGGUAGUUGGUGGGAUAAAAGCUUACCAAGCCGACGAUCUGUAGCUGGUCUGAGAGGACGACCAGCCACACUGGGACUGAGACACGGCCCAGACUCCUACGGGAGGCAGCAGUGGGGAAUUUUGGACAAUGGGCGCAAGCCUGAUCCAGCAAUGCCGCGUGCAGGAUGAAGGCCUUCGGGUUGUAAACUGCUUUUGUACGGAACGAAAAGCCCUCUUCUAAUACAGGAGGGUCAUGACGGUACCGGAAGAAUAAGCACCGGCUAACUACGUG